UUGGUUGAUCCUGCCAGUAGUGUAUGCUUCUCCUAAAGACUAAGCCAUGCAUGCCCUGAAUAAGAGGAAGCAAUUCUCUCUGAAUCUGCGAACGGCUCCGCAAACCAGUUGUAAACUAGAGCAAGCAAGCCUGGCGGGCUUCGGCCUCCAGGUGAUAUGGAUAACCCUGGUAAUUCUGAGGCUAAUACAUGACCGCAAAACCGGGCAGCCCAGCAAUGGAUGCUCGGGGAUGUGCGAUAUGGCUUGACAAUAACCGGGAAAGGACGCACACUCAGACCGCGCUAAAAAGGAUCGGGACUCUCUUCGGAGAACCUGGCCCCUGCGGCUCUUGCUGUGUGCUUCUGACCUAUCAACUAGACGGCAGCGUAAUGGACAUGCUAUGGUGACAACGGGUACAGAGGAUUAGGGUUCGAUCCUGGAGAGUGGGCCUGAGAGAUUGCUCAUACUUCUAAGGAAGGCAGCAGG
This 465-nucleotide ribosomal RNA is filed under the name Lamproderma pulveratum. RNAcentral describes it as "SSU rRNA". It matches the Rfam family "Eukaryotic small subunit ribosomal RNA", at positions 4 to 432 of the family's 1831-position model. Lineage: Eukaryota; Evosea; Eumycetozoa; Stemonitida; Stemonitidae. The record is from RNAcentral.